Molecule: small nuclear RNA, 312 nt
Filed under: Heterocephalus glaber (naked mole-rat)
Lineage: Eukaryota; Metazoa; Chordata; Mammalia; Rodentia; Bathyergidae
Description: 7SK RNA
Rfam family: 7SK RNA
About the family: 7SK was discovered as an abundant small nuclear RNA in the mid-70s but a possible function has only recently been suggested. Two independent studies have found that 7SK RNA binds the CDK9/cyclin T complex (known as elongation factor P-TEFb).
Source: Rfam by way of RNAcentral
GGAUGUGAGGGCGAUCUGGCUGCGACAUCUGUCACCCCAUUGAUCGCCAGGGUUGAUUCGGCUGAUCUGGCUGGCUAGGCGGAUGUCCCCUUCCUCCCUCACCGCUCCAUGUGCGUCCCUCCCGAAGCUGCGCGCUCGGUCAAAGAGGACGACCACCCCCCAUAGAGGAGGACCGUUUCCUCGGUCAGGGGUAUACGAGUAGCUGCGCUCCCCUGCUAGAACCUCCAAACAAGCUCUCAAAGGAGAUUGCUUGUCCAAUUAAUCUGAGUUUGAAUUUCCUAAAGCUUUUCCCCCUCAACCUUAUAGCUCUUA